AACAAUUGGGCCACCGUAUUGGGUCAGAUUAGGUUUGGGCUUAAUUGGGUUUGGGUUAGGGGUAUCCGGGCUAGCUGAUUUGGGUUUGGUAUUGGGCUGUAUGUAAUGUAUUUUGGGUUAGAUUUUUAUUGGGCUAAUAUUUCUGUAUUUUUGGACUUUUGGACUUAUUUUUAAUUUUUUUUGUAAGGGCCGGGAAAAUU
This 200-nucleotide long non-coding RNA is filed under the name Gossypium raimondii (Peruvian cotton). RNAcentral's name for it is "long non-coding RNA (GRAI_LNC003113)". The record is from RNAcentral. Lineage: Eukaryota; Viridiplantae; Streptophyta; Magnoliopsida; Malvales; Malvaceae.